AGUGAACGCUGGCGGCAGGCCUAACACAUGCAAGUCGAGCGGCAGCGCGGGGGCAACCCUGGCGGCGAGCGGCGGACGGGUGAGGAAUGCAUCGGAAUCUACCUCGUUGUGGGGGAUAACCUCGGGAAACCGGGACUAAUACCGCAUACGACCUACGGGUGAAAGUGGGGGACCUUCGGGCCUCACGCGAUGAGAUGAGCCGAUGCCGGAUUAGCUAGUUGGCGGGGUAAAGGCCCACCAAGGCGACGAUCCGUAGCUGGUCUGAGAGGAUGAUCAGCCACACUGGAACUGAGACACGGUCCAGACUCCUACGGGAGGCAGCAGUGGGGAAUAUUGGACAAUGGGCGCAAGCCUGAUCCAGCCAUGCCGCGUGUGUGAAGAAGGCC
This 386-nucleotide ribosomal RNA is filed under the name uncultured bacterium. Its description in RNAcentral is "bacterial SSU rRNA". It matches the Rfam family "Bacterial small subunit ribosomal RNA", at positions 30 to 416 of the family's 1533-position model. The record is from RNAcentral.